Myotis brandtii (Brandt's bat) is the source of this 161-nucleotide long non-coding RNA. RefSeq lists it as uncharacterized. Lineage: Eukaryota; Metazoa; Chordata; Mammalia; Chiroptera; Vespertilionidae. The record is from RefSeq and is a predicted model, not a curated record. The transcript is spliced from 2 exons.
UGGCAGAUUGUCUCUGGCUCCCGAGAUAAAACCAUCAAGUUAUGGAAUACUCUGGGUGUACGCAAAUACACUGUCCAGGAUGAGAGCCACUCAGAGUGGGUGUCUUGUGUGCGCUUCUCACCCAACAGCAGCAAUCCCAUCAUCGUGUCCUGUGGCUGGGA